RNAcentral lists this ribosomal RNA (301 nucleotides) under uncultured bacterium. RNAcentral describes it as "partial 16S ribosomal RNA". It matches the Rfam family "Bacterial small subunit ribosomal RNA", at positions 509 to 807 of the family's 1533-position model. The record is from RNAcentral.
CAGUAGCCGCGGUAACACGGAGGGUGCAAGCGUUAAUCGGAAUUACUGGGCGUAAAGCGCACGCAGGCGGUCUGACAAGUCAGAUGUGAAAUCCCCGGGCUUAACCUGGGAACUGCAUUUGAAACUGUCAGGCUGGAGUCUUGUAGAGGGGGGUAGAAUUCCAGGUGUAGCGGUGAAAUGCGUAGAGAUCUGGAGGAAUACCGGUGGCGAAGGCGGCCCCCUGGACAAAGACUGACGCUCAGGUGCGAAAGCGUGGGGAGCAAACAGGAUUAGAUACCCGCGUAGUCCCUGUCUCUUAUAC